RNAcentral lists this ribosomal RNA (277 nucleotides) under uncultured prokaryote. RNAcentral describes it as "partial 16S ribosomal RNA". It matches the Rfam family "Bacterial small subunit ribosomal RNA", at positions 524 to 801 of the family's 1533-position model. The record is from RNAcentral.
UACGUAGGGGCGAGCGUUGUCCGGAAUGAUUGGGCGUAAAGGGCGCGUAGGCGGCUUAGCAAGUCUGGAGUGAAAGUCCUAUUUUCAAGGUAGGAAUUGCUUUGGAAACUGUUGAGCUUGAGUGCAGGAGAGGUUACCGGAAUUCCCGGUGUAGCGGUGGAAUGCGUAAAUAUCAGGAGGAACACCCGUGGCGAAAGCUGCUGCCUGGAACGAUACCGACGCUGAGGCGCGAAAGCUAGGGGAGCGAACGGGAUUAGAUACCCUGGUAGUCCCUGAG